RNAcentral lists this long non-coding RNA (832 nucleotides) under Phasianus colchicus (ring-necked pheasant). RNAcentral's name for it is "lncRNA (ENSPCLG00000008921.1)". Lineage: Eukaryota; Metazoa; Chordata; Aves; Galliformes; Phasianidae. The record is from RNAcentral.
CUUUUGAAUUACUUCGCAUAUAUAAACUAUUCUUUCAAUUGCUCUCCAACAUAAUACUGCUCAGUUGCAUUUUUUCUUUAACAGUAGUAGCGCUGUGUGAAGCCAUCUCUGCUCAGCUUUGCCUGAUUCGUGUUUCAGGGCUCCAGCUAGGCCAAUAAGAUGAUGGUUUUCUCCUUCCCCUUGUGAUAGAAAGCUGCAGAAUCAUAGGGGUUGGAAUGGAUCAUCUCAUCCAACUCCCUUGCAGGUUGCCUAGAGAAGAUUAAAAGUCACUAGAGUCUUAAAGGGGGACAGUAUAUUCAGCCAUCAUAUGAUGAUGGUUUUUUUACACCCUUGUCCUCUCUGCUUUUUUUGCUGGAGGAAUGGAGAUAACUAAGCUCAGAGCCUGCUGAGAUCUUGUUCUGAUGGUCACGUCCUCAGAGGAGCUGCAGCUGCAUUCCGCCAGCAGCAACAUCCUGUCACCUCAGUUCAGCUGUAUGUUUAGAUGAAUGGCAUUAGGUCAUAUGUCCUCAACUUGUGGAACAAAACACCUUUCCUGUAGUUUGAAGCAGCAGGAGACCAGAUCUACUUACUUGGUAUUAGGGAUACAAAGAAACUUUUUUGUGAGACUGAAUCACCUCAUUUGCCUGUGUCUGAAGGAUGAACCAGCCUGGAAGCAAAGCAGCUUAGGGAGAAAAAAUAGCUCAUUAGCAAAUGCAUUUGAAUGUAUGUUCUUGCAGCUGAUUUAUACUGCAGUAGCCACAGAAAUCUGAAGACAAAAUUCAUGUGCUGACUUUGUUCUUCUUGAGAUCUUUUUACUAACGCUGCCUGUGCAGUGCUUUGUACAAGUUUGUCU